UUACCAUGGGAGUGCCUGCUGCUGU
Molecule: non-coding RNA, 25 nt
Filed under: Rattus norvegicus (Norway rat)
Lineage: Eukaryota; Metazoa; Chordata; Mammalia; Rodentia; Muridae
Source: RNAcentral